RNAcentral lists this ribosomal RNA (253 nucleotides) under uncultured bacterium. Its description in RNAcentral is "partial 16S ribosomal RNA". It matches the Rfam family "Bacterial small subunit ribosomal RNA", at positions 524 to 776 of the family's 1533-position model. The record is from RNAcentral.
UACAGAGGUCCCGAGCGUUGUUCGGAUUCACUGGGCGUAAAGGGUGCGCAGGUGGGUUGGCAAGUUUGAUGUGAAAGCCCCGGGCUUAACCCGGGAAAGGCAUUGAAUACUGCUGAUCUGGAGGAUCGGAGGGGGGACUGGAAUUCUUGGUGUAGCAGUGAAAUGCGUAGAUAUCAAGAGGAACACCAGUGGCGAAGGCGAGUCUCUGGGCUGUAUCUGACGCUGAUGCGCGAAAGCUAGGGGAGCAAACGGG